UACGGAGGGAGCUAGCGUUGUUCGGAAUUACUGGGCGUAAAGCGCACGUAGGCGGUUAUUCAAGUCAGAGGUGAAAGCCCGGGGCUCAACUCCGGAACUGCCUUUGAAACUAGAUAGCUUGAAUCCAGGAGAGGUGAGUGGAACUCCGAGUGUAGAGGUGAAAUUCGUAGAUAUUCGGAAGAACACCAGUGGCGAAGGCGGCUCACUGGUCCGGUACUGACGCUGAGGUGCGAAAGCGUGGGGAGCAAACAGG
This 253-nucleotide ribosomal RNA is filed under the name uncultured bacterium. Its description in RNAcentral is "partial 16S ribosomal RNA". It matches the Rfam family "Bacterial small subunit ribosomal RNA", at positions 524 to 776 of the family's 1533-position model. The record is from RNAcentral.